GCCGGCCACACUGGAACCUUGAAGACCACGGUCCAGACUCAAACGGGAGGCAGCAGUGGGGAACUCUUGCACAAUGGACCGAAACGUCUGAUGCAUGCAACGCCGCGUGGGGGAUCGAAGCUUCUCGGAGUGUAAACCCCUUUCGACCCGGAAGAAUGCCCGCAAGGGUUUGACGGUACGGGUAUAAGAAGCCCCUGGCUAACUACUGUGCCAGCAUGCCGCGGUAAUACGUAGGGGGCCAGACGUUAGCUACGGAAUUACUGGGCGUACACAGGGUCUGUAGGCGGUGCGGCAAGUCGAUAGUGAAAUCCCUAGGCUUAACCUAGGGGCUGCUAGGCGAAACUGCCGUGCUAGAGUGUGAGAGAGGCGAGUGGAAUUACGGGUGUAGCGGUGAAAUGCGUAGAUUCCGUCAGGAACAUUCCGAGGCGAAAUGCGGCUCGCUUGGCAUUCACAACUGACGGCUGAGAGACGAAAGCUAAGGGGAGGCCAAAC
RNAcentral lists this ribosomal RNA (492 nucleotides) under uncultured bacterium. RNAcentral's name for it is "bacterial SSU rRNA". It matches the Rfam family "Bacterial small subunit ribosomal RNA", at positions 303 to 773 of the family's 1533-position model. The record is from RNAcentral.